CGAACGGGCCUGGAGACCUUCAGAAGUUCUUCCCUGAGGUUCUAGCACCCCUUCCUCUGGAAGCCUUAUUGGAAGAUGAGUGCGAAUAGGAUUUCCAUGAAGAAUUCCUGGAAAACUCCCUUCCUGGUUUAUAGCUCCUGCUUUUCCGAAAGGACCGAUCAUUGAAGCACUUGGUCUUCCAGGAGGAGGGAAAACUCUUCCUGCCUACUUGAGGUAAAAAUGCCUUUUUUCCAUCGGCAGCUUUUUGAAUAGCAUCUUCCAGAAUCUUACCAAAAAGGAGAUCCCCUUGGAACCGAAGGCCACACAGGGAAGCCUUACAGGCAUAGUCAGCACCCCACAAAUGAAGCCACAAGGCCCUUCUAGAAGCCACAGACAGGGCCAUACUCUUGGCAAUCAUGCGAGUGAUGUCCAGGGAGGCUUCCGAACAGAAUUCCGUGGCCAGGCUAAAGUCCUUG
Pelobates cultripes (western spadefoot toad) is the source of this 455-nucleotide non-coding RNA. Lineage: Eukaryota; Metazoa; Chordata; Amphibia; Anura; Pelobatidae. The record is from the annotation of a GenBank genome assembly.